GUGCCAGCCGCCGCGGUAAUACCGGCAGCUCAAGUGAUGUCCCAUAUUAUUGGGCCUAAAGCGUUCGUAGCCGGCCAGUCAAGUCUGUUGGGAAAUCCACGCGCUCAACGCGUGGGCGUCCAGCGGAAACUGCACAGCUUGGGACCGGAAGGCUCGAAGGGUACGUUCGGGGUAGGAGUGAAAUCCCAUAAUCCCGCACGGACCACCGAUGGCGAAAGCACUUCGAGAAAACGGAUCCGACAGUGAGGGACGAAAGCCAGGGUCUCCAACCGGAUUAGAUACCCCUGUAGUCC
RNAcentral lists this ribosomal RNA (293 nucleotides) under uncultured bacterium. RNAcentral describes it as "partial 16S ribosomal RNA". It matches the Rfam family "Archaeal small subunit ribosomal RNA", at positions 455 to 747 of the family's 1478-position model. The record is from RNAcentral.